UGAGUAACCUGCCCUUAACUCUGGGAUAAGCCUGGGAAACUGGGUCUAAUACCGGAUAUGACUCCUCAUCGCAUGGCGGGGGGUGGAAAGCUUUUUGUGGUUUUGGAUGGACUCGCGGCCUAUCAGCUUGUUGGUGAGGUAAUGGCUCACCAAGGCGACGACGGGUAGCCGGCCUGAGAGGGUGACCGGCUACACUGGGACUGAGACACGGCCCAGACUCCUACGGGAGGCAG
This 233-nucleotide ribosomal RNA is filed under the name uncultured bacterium. RNAcentral's name for it is "partial 16S ribosomal RNA". It matches the Rfam family "Bacterial small subunit ribosomal RNA", at positions 118 to 351 of the family's 1533-position model. The record is from RNAcentral.